AGUCGAGCGAAUGGAUUAAGAGCUUGCUCUUAUGAAGUUAGCGGCGGACGGGUGAGUAACACGUGGGUAACCUGCCCAUAAGACUGGGAUAACUCCGGGAAACCGGGGCUAAUACCGGAUAACAUUUUGAACCGCAUGGUUCGAAAUUGAAAGGCGGCUUCGGCUGUCACUUAUGGAUGGACCCGCGUCGCAUUAGCUAGUUGGUGAGGUAACGGCUCACCAAGGCAACGAUGCGUAGCCGACCUGAGAGGGUGAUCGGCCACACUGGGACUGAGACACGGCCCAGACUCCUACGGGAGGCAGCAGUAGGGAAUCUUCCGCAAUGGACGAAAGUCUGACGGAGCAACGCCGCGUGAGUGAUGAAGGCUUUCGGGUCGUAAAACUCUGUUGUUAGGGAAGAACAAGUGCUAGUUGAAUAAGCUGGCACCUUGACGGUACCUAACCAGAAAGCCACGGCUAACUACGUGCCAGCAGCCGCGGUAAUACGUAGGUGGCAAGCGUUAUCCGGAAUUAUUGGGCGUAAAGCGCGCGCAGGUGGUUUCUUAAGUCUGAUGUGAAAGCCCACGGCUCAACCGUGGAGGGUCAUUGGAAACUGGGAGACUUGAGUGCAGAAGAGGAAAGUGGAAUUCCAUGUGUAGCGGUGAAAUGCGUAGAGAUAUGGAGGAACACCAGUGGCGAAGGCGACUUUCUGGUCUGUAACUGACACUGAGGCGCGAAAGCGUGGGAGCAAACAGGAUUAGAUACCCUGGUAGUCCACGCCGUAAACGAUGAGUGCUAAGUGUUAGAGGGUUUCCGCCCUUUAGUGCUGAAGUUAACGCAUUAAGCACUCCGCCUGGGGAGUACGGCCGCAAGGCUGAAACUCAAAGGAAUUGACGGGGGCCCGCACAAGCGGUGGAGCAUGUGGAUUUAAUUCGAAGCACGCGAAGAACCUUACCAGGUCUUGACAUCCUYUGACAACCCUAGAGAUAGGGCUUYUCCUUCGGGAGCAGAGUGACAGGUGGUGCAUGGUUGUCGUCAGCUCGUGUCGUGAGAUGUUGGGUUAAGUCCCGCAACGAGCGCAACCCUUGAUCUUAGUUGCCAUCAUUUAGUUGGGCACUUUAAGGUGACUGCCGGUGACAAACCGGAGGAAGGUGGGGAUGACGUCAAAUCAUCAUGCCCCUUAUGACCUGGGCUACACACGUGCUACAAUGGACGGUACAAAGAGCUGCAAGACCGCGAGGUGGAGCUAAUCUCAUAAAACCGUUCUCAGUUCGGAUUGUAGGCUGCAACUCGCCUACAUGAAGCUGGAAUCGCUAGUAAUCGCGGAUCAGCAUGCCGCGGUGAAUACGUUCCCGGGCCUUGUACACCCCGCCCGUCACACCACGAGAGUUUGUAACCCCCGAAGUCGGUGGGGUAACCUUUUGGAGCCAGCCGC
This 1414-nucleotide ribosomal RNA is filed under the name Bacillus sp. N1(2011). Its description in RNAcentral is "16S ribosomal RNA". It matches the Rfam family "Bacterial small subunit ribosomal RNA". Lineage: Bacteria; Bacillati; Bacillota; Bacilli; Caryophanales; Bacillaceae. The record is from RNAcentral.